This is a long non-coding RNA of Zea mays, 627 nucleotides long. RefSeq lists it as uncharacterized. The transcript is spliced from 2 exons. NCBI's taxonomy places the organism in Eukaryota, Viridiplantae, Streptophyta, Magnoliopsida, Poales, Poaceae. The record is from RefSeq and is a predicted model, not a curated record.
CCUGCGUGCACGCCACCGAUUUCGCCUGCCUGAACUCCCCACUGCCCCUAUUUCUUCUCCCCCGCUCUCGAUCUCAAUCGCGGCCCCCGUACCGCAGUCGACCUCCAGAUCCUCUGCCAUCGAUUCGUGGCCGCCAACACGCUGAGGGGGCGGGGAGGGUGGGCAUGGACAAAAACUGGCUCAGCGGCGGUGCGUUGCUCAGCGCGUCUAGGAGCUCUCGACGGCAGGCCUCUAGGAUGGCGGCCAUGAUGCAUGGGCUCAGGAGGAUGUUCGUGGCGCACAACAGCAAGAGCUGGGCACACAGGGAUGAGCAGAGCACUGCCUUUGCCUCUACAUCUACAUCUGUUAGCCCAAACAUACGAGCUGCUAGUUCUAGAUUCCCUCCUUUCAAAAGCAAAUCUUGAGAAUAACAGGUAUAAGAAGACCCCAAAAGAGGAGCAAAAUCAUUGAUUGGAUGUGAUCUGAUCCUGAGGCGCCAAGGUGAUGUCAGAUUUAUGUUGGUUCAGUAGAUUUAUGUUGGUUUGCCUGUUCUCCUUGGUCAGUUUCCCCCGACCGAAGGAAUGGCAUGAUGUAUUGUAGUUUAUAAAAUGGAAUACAUUUAUGUGGAUAAACUACUUUGUUUGUGCA